AGCAAUCAUUAAACAAACCAAUAGGAUGACAAUUUCAUGCAAAAUUCAUGGCCAAAUUGAAUUUCACACAAUUUCACAAGUUUCACAAAACAGCACAUAAUAUUCGGAUAAAACCAGCACGCACAGUUUCCGAAGAAAUUCGAUUAAAAUAUCCAUAUGGUCUCCAAAAAUUACGAAAUUUUACAGAGUGAUAGCCAAGACAUUUUUGCACAACUUUCAUGAAGAACUCCAAGCCA
This 236-nucleotide long non-coding RNA is filed under the name Eucalyptus grandis. RNAcentral describes it as "long non-coding RNA (EGRA_LNC002898)". Lineage: Eukaryota; Viridiplantae; Streptophyta; Magnoliopsida; Myrtales; Myrtaceae. The record is from RNAcentral.